Molecule: ribosomal RNA, 382 nt
Filed under: uncultured eukaryote
Lineage: Eukaryota
Description: partial 18S ribosomal RNA
Rfam family: Eukaryotic small subunit ribosomal RNA
Source: RNAcentral
CAAUAGCGUAUAUUAAAGUUGUUGCAGUUAAAAAGCUCGUAGUUGGAUUUCUGGUUGGAGCGACCGGUCGGGCAUUGAUUUGUCUGCACUGGAGUCGGUUCUGGCCAUCCUCUUGGAAAGUGCGUCUGUCAUUAAGUUGUCGGGCGUAUGAUCCAGGUCUUUUACUGUGAAAAAAUUAGAGUGUUUAAAGCAGGCCUUCGCCUUGAAUACAUUAGCAUGGAAUAAUAAGAUAGGACUUUGGUCUAUUUUGUUGGUUUGCAGACCGAAGUAGUGAUUAAUAGGGAUAGUUGGGGGUAUUUAUAUUCCAAUGUCAGAGGUGAAAUUCUUAGAUUUUUGGAAGAUAAACUUAUGCGAAAGCAUUUACCAAGGAUGUUUUCAUUAA